RNA transcript from Impatiens glandulifera, 1536 nucleotides. It is a transcript of the gene named serine/arginine-rich splicing factor SC35-like, with no coding region annotated. Lineage: Eukaryota; Viridiplantae; Streptophyta; Magnoliopsida; Ericales; Balsaminaceae. The record is from RefSeq and is a predicted model, not a curated record. The transcript has 10 exons.
UCGUAUUGAGUUUGGUUAUCAGUUAUCGCCUCAUUCCUCAACCCUACCAUAGAUCUCUCUGAGCUUUUCUCGAACCAGAAGAUGUCGCACUUCGGGAGAUCCGGACCUCCAGAUAUCAAAGACACCUACUCGCUCCUCGUUCUCAACAUCACUUUCCGAACCAAUGCCGACGAUCUGUUUCCUCUAUUUGACAAGUACGGCAAGGUUGUCGACGUUUUCAUCCCUAGAGAUCGAAGGACUGGUGAAUCGCGAGGAUUUGCUUUUGUUCGAUAUAAGUAUGCAGAUGAGGCUCAGAAAGCAGUUGAGAGGCUUGAUGGUAGAGUUGUUGAUGGAAGAGAAAUUAUGGUUCAGUUUGCCAAGUAUGGACCAAAUGCUGAAAAAAUUCAGAAGGGAAGGGUGGUAGAAUCUGUUUCAAAGUCACGAAGUAGGUCAAGGAGCCGCAGUCCUCGCCCAAGGUACAGGGAUGAAUAUAGAGAUAGGGACUACAGAAGGAGAGGUCGCAGCAGAAGUAGUAGUGGCAGACGUAGAAGCAGAAGUAGUAGUGGCAGGCGUAGAAGCAGAUACAAUAAUGAGAGGCGAAGCAGAAGCCGUUCUCCUGGCAGUGCCUCCCCUGCUCGUGACAGCCGCAGUCCUAAAAGGAACUCAUCCCCCCGGAGGUCUCCUCCUUCUAAGAGUAGAAGUCCUGAUGUUCGCAAAGGAAAAGAACGUUCACUUACUCCUAGUGUUUCACCUCGUCGUAGAAUUUCUGAUUCUAGAAGUCCAUCUCCUCGAUCGGAUUCUGAAGAGUGAAACAACAUCAUGACAUGGAUUUUCCUCUCGUGUUCUCCUCGUAUAUUUCAUUCGAAUGCAUCAACUGUUCUGGAGUCUUGGGGGGUCAAUCUUUGUGAAACUCUUUAUGUUAUCGUCAGCUUAAAUAAUGAAUGACUUGAUGAUUGUCUGGAGCAGAUUUUGAGGAUUGAUUGUUCUAUGUUGUACUUGAUGCAGUUCUAUGGCCUUGCAUAGCAUGUAGCUGCAAGGAUUAUCCUGGCCGAAUGGCUGAUGAUGAUGUUGAUGUAGCAGCAGAUUUUGAUGCUGUUUUUAAGUUUGCGGUUGCUUGAUGUUUAUUGCUGUGUAGAUAAAGUGGUUCAGUUUCUAUUAUUCAGAAUUCUCUCGACGAUAUCAUUUUAUGUAAGCUUUGAUGUGUUGAGAUUGGUGGUGGUUGCAGCCAAAAACUGCCAUAUGAUGAGAUGAUUGCUGAUUAAAUAAGAAAAAUUAAAUGAUGCUAAGCUGAAUAUGGUGCUCCUUUUCCUUUGUCUUUGUUUAUUUUCUUGUUUCCAUAUCUAUUAAUGAUAAGAGUGAAGCUGAUAUGAAUUGAAUAUGGUACAGUUAGGUUAGAGUUGAGAAGUGAUAGGUGAUUUGUUCUUCAUUGAUGAGUUAUUGCGGUUAUCUUGCUCAUAGCUGUUUGACUGAUUGUGGAGGGGAAUCAGCUGGGUCUUGUAGCUGUGACCUUAUAUGGUUUGCUGGUUUUAAGGUAUUUAUUCGAUUCCAUUUCAUGUA